GGAGACGUGGCCGAGUGGUCGAAGGCGCUCCCCUGCUAAGGGAGUAUUCGGGAACGGUAUCGAGGGUUCGAAUCCCUUCGUCUCCGCCA
Molecule: transfer RNA, 89 nt
Filed under: Alphaproteobacteria bacterium
Lineage: Bacteria; Pseudomonadati; Pseudomonadota; Alphaproteobacteria
Description: tRNA-Ser
Rfam family: tRNA
About the family: Transfer RNA (tRNA) molecules are approximately 80 nucleotides in length. Their secondary structure includes four short double-helical elements and three loops (D, anti-codon, and T loops).
Source: RNAcentral